CCCUUUGGGGUGUGACUGCGUACCUUUUGUAUAAUGGGUCAGCGACUUAUAUUCUGUAGCAAGGUUAACCGUAUAGGGGAGCCGGAGGGAAACCGAGUCUUAACCGGGCGUUAAGUUGCAGGGUAUAGACCCGAAACCCGGUGAUCUAGCCAUGGGCAGGUUGAAGGUUGGGUAACACUAACUGGAGGACCGAACCGACUAAUGUUGAAAAAUUAGCGGAUGACCUGUGGCUGGGGGUGAAAGGCCAAUCAAACCGGGAGAUAGCUGGUUCUCCCCGAAAGCUAUUUAGGUAGCGCCUCGUGAAUUCAUCUCCGGGGGUAGAGCACUGUUUCGGCUAGGGGGCCAUCCCGGCUUACCAACCCGAUGCAAACUGCGAAUACCGGAGAAUGUUAUCACGGGAGACACACGGCGGGUGCUAACGUCCGUCGUGAAGAGGGAAACAACCCAGACCGCCAGCUAAGGUCCCAAAGUCAUGGUUAAGUGGGAAACGAUGUGGGAAGGCCCAGACAGCCAGGAUGUUGGCUUAGAAGCAGCCAUCAUUUAAAGAAAGCGUAAUAGCUCACUGGUCGAGUCGGCCUGCGCGGAAGAUGUAACGGGGCUAAACCAUGCACCGAAGCUGCGGCAGCGACACUCAGGUGUUGUUGGGUAGGGGAGCGUUCUGUAAGCCUG
RNAcentral lists this ribosomal RNA (669 nucleotides) under Salmonella enterica subsp. enterica serovar Panama. RNAcentral's name for it is "partial 23S ribosomal RNA". It matches the Rfam family "Bacterial large subunit ribosomal RNA", at positions 582 to 1251 of the family's 2925-position model. Lineage: Bacteria; Pseudomonadati; Pseudomonadota; Gammaproteobacteria; Enterobacterales; Enterobacteriaceae. The record is from RNAcentral.